This 846-nucleotide ribosomal RNA is filed under the name uncultured bacterium. Its description in RNAcentral is "bacterial SSU rRNA". It matches the Rfam family "Bacterial small subunit ribosomal RNA", at positions 8 to 902 of the family's 1533-position model. The record is from RNAcentral.
AGAGUUUGAUCCUGGCUCAGAGCGAACGCUGGCGGCAGGCCUAACACAUGCAAGUCGAACGGACCCUUCGGGGUUAGUGGCGGACGGGUGAGUAACACGUGGGAACGUGCCUUUAGGUUCGGAAUAGCUCCUGGAAACGGGUGGUAAUGCCGAAUGUGCCCUUCGGGGGAAAGAUUUAUCGCCUUUAGAGCGGCCCGCGUCUGAUUAGCUAGUUGGUGAGGUAAUGGCUCACCAAGGCGACGAUCAGUAGCUGGUCUGAGAGGAUGACCAGCCACAUUGGGACUGAGACACGGCCCAAACUCCUACGGGAGGCAGCAGUGGGGAAUCUUGCGCAAUGGGCGAAAGCCUGACGCAGCCAUGCCGCGUGAAUGAUGAAGGUCUUAGGAUUGUAAAAUUCUUUCACCGGGGACGAUAAUGACGGUACCCGGAGAAGAAGCCCCGGCUAACUUCGUGCCAGCAGCCGCGGUAAUACGAAGGGGGCUAGCGUUGCUCGGAAUUACUGGGCGUAAAGGGCGCGUAGGCGGAUCGUUAAGUCAGAGGUGAAAUCCCGGAGCUCAACUUCGGAACUGCCUUUGAUACUGGCGAUCUUGAGUGUGAGAGAGGUAUGUGGAACUCCGAGUGUAGAGGUGAAAUUCGUAGAUAUUCGGAAGAACACCAGUGGCGAAAGCGACAUACUGGCUCAUUACUGACGCUGAGGCGCGAAAGCGUGGGGAGCAAACAGGAUUAGAUACCCUGGUAGUCCACGCCGUAAACGAUGAUUGCUAGUUGUCGGGCUGCAUGCAGUUCGGUGACGCAGCUAACGCAUUAAGCAAUCCGCCUGGGGAGUACGGUCGCAGAUUAAAACUC